This 490-nucleotide ribosomal RNA is filed under the name uncultured bacterium. Its description in RNAcentral is "partial 16S ribosomal RNA". It matches the Rfam family "Bacterial small subunit ribosomal RNA", at positions 29 to 507 of the family's 1533-position model. The record is from RNAcentral.
AUGAACGCUGGCUACAGGCUUAACCCAUGCAAGUCGAGGGGAAACGACGGGGAAGCUUGCUUCCCCGGGCGUCGACCGGCGCACGGGUGAGUAACGCGUAUCCAACCUGCCUCUGACUGAGGGAUAACCCGUCGAAAGUCGGCCUAAUACCUCAUGGCAUCGUCUGCGGGCAUCCAACGACGAUUAAAGAUUUCAUCGGUCAGAGAUGGGGAUGCGUCUGAUUAGCUUGUUGGCGGGGUAACGGCCCACCAAGGCGACGAUCAGUAGGGGUUCUGAGAGGAAGGUCCCCCACAUUGGAACUGAGACACGGUCCAAACGCCUACGGGAGGCAGCAGUGAGGAAUAUUGGUCAAUGGGCGAGAGCCUGAACCAGCCAAGUAGCGUGCAGGAUGACGGCCCUAUGGGUUGUAAACUGCUUUUAUGCGGGGAUAAAGUGAGGGACGUGUCCUUCAUUGCAGGUACCGCAUGAAUAAGGACCGGCUAAUUCCGUG